This 168-nucleotide ribosomal RNA is filed under the name Mucor racemosus. RNAcentral's name for it is "partial 18S ribosomal RNA". It matches the Rfam family "Eukaryotic small subunit ribosomal RNA", at positions 1667 to 1831 of the family's 1831-position model. Lineage: Eukaryota; Fungi; Mucoromycota; Mucoromycetes; Mucorales; Mucoraceae. The record is from RNAcentral.
CACCGCCCGUCGCUACUACCGAUUGAAUGGUUAUAGUGAGCAUAUGGGAUCAGUAGAAUUAGACUGGCAACAGUCUUUCUCUGCAGAGAACUAUGGCAAACUAGGCUAUUUAGAGGAAGUAAAAGUCGUAACAAGGUUUCCGUAGGUGAACCUGCGGAAGGAUCAUUA